CGGUUGAUCCUGCCGGACCUGACUGCUAUUGGAAUGGGAUUAAGCCAUGCGAGUUUUAUGUCCCCAGACUGCUGGAGGCAUAGCGAACGGCUCAGUAACACGUGGCCAACCUACCCUUAAGCCAUAGAUAACCCCGGGAAACUGGGACUAAUCUAUGAUAAGUCCAGAACUCUGGAAUUGAGUCUAGACUCAAAGAUAAUGUAAGCAUGUUUUACACUAUUGCUUGAGGAUGGGGCUACGGCCGAUCAGGCAGUUGGUGGGGUAAUGGCCCACCAAACCUUUGACCGGUACGGGCUUUGAGAGAAGGAGCCCGGAGAUGGACACUGAGAUAAGGGUCCAGGCCCUAUGGGGCGCAGCAGGCGCGAAACCUUCACAAUGAGCGAAAGCUUGAUGAGGCUAUUUCAAGUGCCAUCCGCUAAGGAUGGCUUUUCCUAAGUCUAAACAGCUUGGGGAAUAAGGGGAGGGCAAGCCUGGUGUCAGCCGCCGCGGUAAUACCAGCUCCCCGAGUGGUCGGGACGGUUAUUUGGCCUAAAGCAUCCGUAGCCGGUCCUGUUAGUCUUCCGUUAAAUCUAACGGCCCAACCGUUAGGCUGCGAAAGAUACCGCAGGACUAGGGGACGGGAGAGGUGGACGGUACUCCAGGGGUAGGGGUAAAAUCCUCUGAUCCUUGGAANGACCACCAGCGGCGAANGCGGUUCACCAGAACGUGCCCGACGGUGAGGGAUGAAAGCUGGGGGGGCGAACCGGAUUANAUACCCGGGUAGUCCCAGCCGUAAACNAUGCGAGC
This 786-nucleotide ribosomal RNA is filed under the name uncultured archaeon. RNAcentral describes it as "bacterial SSU rRNA". It matches the Rfam family "Archaeal small subunit ribosomal RNA", at positions 5 to 767 of the family's 1478-position model. The record is from RNAcentral.